GGUGGCUCAGUGAUAGAGUGCUUGCCUUGCAUGCAUGAGGUCCUGGGUUCGAAUCCUCAGCACCA
RNAcentral lists this transfer RNA (65 nucleotides) under Dipodomys ordii (Ord's kangaroo rat). It matches the Rfam family "tRNA". From Rfam's summary of the family: Transfer RNA (tRNA) molecules are approximately 80 nucleotides in length. Their secondary structure includes four short double-helical elements and three loops (D, anti-codon, and T loops). The record is from Rfam by way of RNAcentral. Lineage: Eukaryota; Metazoa; Chordata; Mammalia; Rodentia; Heteromyidae.